UGAGAUUGCAGCCCAAAGAGGGUGGUAAACCUCAUCUAAGGCUAAAUACGACCAUGAGACCGAUAGCAAACAAGUACCGUGAGGGAAAGUUGCAAAGAACUUUGAAGAGAGAGUUCAAGAGGGCGUGAAACCGCUGAGAUGGAAACGGAUAGAGUUAACGAAACUUAUCGGUAUUCAACCGAUCAAUUUAGCAUAUCUUUAUAAAAUUAUUAUUCAUGAAUAAUGAAUGAAAUUUUAUUAAAGAAUGUAAUGCUAGAUUAAUACAAAUGAUUGGUGUAUUUACCGAUAGUAUGCAUCGAGAACUUCGUUUUAAAAGCAUAUUGGAGCAAAUUUUUAGUGGACCAAUUAUUACAAUUAAUAAUUGGAAUCCUAAAAAUAUGUUUAAUUUAUUAAUAUGUCUUAAAUGAAGUUAUUUUUCCCAAAUAUAUAACUAUCACUUGAAAUAAUAGUGACAUGCAUCGAUUAUAAUUUUUAUUAAAUAUAUUUUACAUGUAGUCGCAUGCGACUUUAAUUGUAAAUAUAUU
RNAcentral lists this ribosomal RNA (524 nucleotides) under unidentified nematode. RNAcentral describes it as "partial large subunit ribosomal RNA". It matches the Rfam family "Eukaryotic large subunit ribosomal RNA", at positions 275 to 664 of the family's 3401-position model. The record is from RNAcentral. Lineage: Eukaryota; Metazoa; Nematoda.